This 467-nucleotide ribosomal RNA is filed under the name uncultured bacterium. RNAcentral describes it as "bacterial SSU rRNA". It matches the Rfam family "Bacterial small subunit ribosomal RNA", at positions 917 to 1382 of the family's 1533-position model. The record is from RNAcentral.
GGGCCCGCACAAGCGGUGGAGCAUGUGGUUCAAUUCGACGCAACGCGAAGAACCUUACCUGGGCUCGAAGCGCAGUGGACCGGGGUGGAAACAUCCCUUCCCCUUAAAAGGCUGCUGCGGAGGUGCUGCAUGGCUGUCGUCAGCUCGUGUCGUGAGAUGUUGGGUUAAGUCCCGCAACGAGCGCAACCCUUAUCCCUAGUUGCCAUCGGGUCAAGCCGGGCACUCUAGUGAAACUGCCUCAGAUAAUGAGGAGGAAGGUGGGGAUGACGUCAAGUCCUCAUGGCCUUUAUGUCCAGGGCUACACACGUGCUACAAUGGUCGGUACAAACCGUCGCAAACCCGCGAGGGGGAGCUAAUCGGAAAAAGCCGGCCUCAGUUCGGAUUGGAGUCUGCAACCCGACUCCAUGAAGCUGGAAUCGCUAGUAAUCGCGGAUCAGAACGCCGCGGUGAAUACGUUCCCGGGCCUU